RNAcentral lists this long non-coding RNA (1230 nucleotides) under Equus caballus (horse). Its description in RNAcentral is "lncRNA (ENSECAG00000055706.1)". Lineage: Eukaryota; Metazoa; Chordata; Mammalia; Perissodactyla; Equidae. The record is from RNAcentral.
AGGGAUUCUACCUUGUUCCGUCACAGUGGGGAGCCAGCGGAGGGGUCGUAAACCAGGGCGGGGCUGGAUUUGAUUUGCAUUUUAAAACGAUUGUUCUGAGCUCCACCGAGAGCAGGGUUUGCAGCCCGUGGGGACAGAAGGAGUCUGCAGGCACGGCCUCAGUGAGAGACAGGGCUUCUGCCAGGCUGGGCCGUGGGGCCCUGGGGAAGAGCGGCGAUGCAGAUCUGAAAAUGCUGAAAAAUAUUUAGUUAUGAAAAUCUGGAUGAUCGUAACCUCAGAGGAGUUCAGAAAGCAUUAGCCACAUAAUUUUGGAGAUCAUUGUGUUGGGAUUAGAACCGUAAAGGCAUUUGGCAUGAGAAAACAGCAGAAAAUAAGACCCUGCACAAGCUUUCGCAGGACUGAUUACGGGCUUGAGCCCACUUAGGAAAGAGAGAAAAAUCCUCCUUAAGGGGAAGUGGGAAGAAAAAUGCGGAACAGAACUAUAAGAAAGAGUUAUCCCCUAGGUGGAUGCCCACCUGCAGAGCUUCAAGACUAGAAGGAGGAUGCCAGAGCCAGCAUUUCUCCAAGCGGGCAGACCCUGCCGGGGCGGAGCAGAGGGAGCAUUCAACAGACAGCGGCCGCAAACCUGGCGGUUUCCACCUCCAGUCCCGGGGAGCUGUUAGAACCCAAACUAUCAAAAUGGCAACAUUUAAUUGAACAGCUGUUUGCAAAUCACAUGCUUAUUAGCUGCACGCUGAAAAAAAUAAAAAGGCCUACUUGUAUUUCAGUCUACUGACCAUCAAGAGCCCCCGUUAUGGUUAGAAUUCUCUUGAUUGUAAGCAAGAGCACGGUCACCUGCUAACACAGGAGAAAGACCCACACGCUGGCAUGGGGAGGGUGAGGCCCCAGGCAGCUUUGGGCACUAGCUACAUUCUCUCCUCUCUUCUGGGCGACUUUCUUCUUCCCUCUCUCUGCUCAGCUGGUCCAAAAUGGCUUCCUCUGGACAUCCUACCUUCUCUCCCUCACCCCGUCACGUUUACAUGGGCUGCGUCUUCACCCUGGACUGUUUUCUCUCCCCUUCUUAGCCUGGCUGCAUCCUGCCUGUGGCUUCAGUCUUCUCAGGUGCAGCCUUUUCUAGGUAGCUGCCCUCGAUCCCCAAGGCUGGGGUCCCCGAGCCCACCUGUAAGCUCCCGUGUUCGCUGGUGCUAACUAUGCCAUCUUAGGUCUUUCCACUCUGCAGUGUAAUUGCCG